UUUUUCCUUGCGAUGGAAUGACCAGCCUAUUUAUGGGAAGCUGCUUGUAUCUUGGGACACAAUAUUGACAAUAUUCUCAAGAGGAAAGUAAAAUUCAUGAAGUGCACAGCUGGGAGCCACUUCCUAGUCGCCCCUCCUUCUAGGGCCACAUACAGACUAACUACUAAACCACCUAGCAAAGCCCAGCUAGAAUGGAAUAAAACAAGGCUACUGUCUAGGGAUCCCCCGUGCCUCAUCUUUGAUGUUUGGGAGUAAUUUCUGCCUCUUUGUGGAAGUAAAG
This 280-nucleotide long non-coding RNA is filed under the name Homo sapiens (human). Its description in RNAcentral is "HSALNT0120020". Lineage: Eukaryota; Metazoa; Chordata; Mammalia; Primates; Hominidae. The record is from RNAcentral.